CCUACGGGAGGCAGCAGUGGGGAAUAUUGCACAAUGGGGGAAACCCUGAUGCAGCGACGCCGCGUGAGUGAAGAAGUAUUUCGGUAUGUAAAGCUCUAUCAGCAGGGAAGCAAAUGACGGUACCUGAUUAAGAAGCCCCGGCUAACUACAUGCCAGCGGCCGCGGGAAUACGUAGGGGGCAAGCGUUAUCCGGAUUUACGGGGUGUAAAGGGAGGUUAUACGGCAGCGCAAGUCUGAAGUGAAAUGCCGGGGCUUAACCCCGGAACUGCUUUGGAAACUGGGCAGCUAGAGUACAGGAGAGGUAAGUGGAAUGCCUAGUGUAGCGGUGAAAUGCGUAGAUAUUAGGAGGAACACCAGUGGCGAAGGCGGCUUACUGGACUGUAACUGACGUUGAGGCUCGAAAGCGUGGGGAGCAAACAGGAUUAGAUACCCUUGUAGUC
This 440-nucleotide ribosomal RNA is filed under the name uncultured bacterium. RNAcentral describes it as "partial 16S ribosomal RNA". It matches the Rfam family "Bacterial small subunit ribosomal RNA", at positions 338 to 795 of the family's 1533-position model. The record is from RNAcentral.